AUAGUAAAUUUAAUGUAUUGUAGAUAUACCAAACAGGAGGAGAGACAAUACAAGAGAAACUUUUGAACCAGAUGCAAGCAAGGAAUAUGAAGCAUUAUUCUUUUGCACAAAACUGAACGCAAGACAAGAAAGAAUAAACAAUUGGGGUAUGAGGGGAAUUACCCACGACAGCAAUGGGAGAGAAGGGAAAGAUGCCUGAUAGGGCCCACUAAUGAUGGGGUAGAAAAUGAUUGUUUUGGUAUUGGUGUAGGUAGGUUUUAUUUUGGUUAAAGGCUGCUGAAACUUUUAGAGGGAGAGGUUGUCAGCCUUCUCGAAGGAGCUAGAUUUGUUAUCUUGUUUUCAGUAUUUGUUCGUUCUGUGAUUACUCUUUGGCUUGUUUUGUGAACAUUCUCUUUGAAUAUCAAUAUAUAUCUACAGAGUGCUGCCUCUUUUUCUAUC
Cucumis sativus (cucumber) is the source of this 438-nucleotide long non-coding RNA. RefSeq lists it as uncharacterized. The transcript is spliced from 2 exons. The record is from RefSeq and is a predicted model, not a curated record. NCBI's taxonomy places the organism in Eukaryota, Viridiplantae, Streptophyta, Magnoliopsida, Cucurbitales, Cucurbitaceae.